Tulasnella sp. 424 is the source of this 88-nucleotide non-coding RNA. NCBI's taxonomy places the organism in Eukaryota, Fungi, Basidiomycota, Agaricomycetes, Cantharellales, Tulasnellaceae. The record is from the annotation of a GenBank genome assembly.
GCCUGGCUAGCUCAAUCGGUAGAGCGUGAGACUCUUAUCACGUAAGAGCACUAUCUCAAGGUUGCGGGUUCGACCCCCGCGUUAGGCU